GUGGUGAGUCCAUAUCCAGGUCUUCUGGCCCUGCCUCCUGGAGGGGCUUUGGACCUUUGCUGGACCUCACUCCUUCCUGGCUCCUGCUGCUCCUGACUGGGCCCUGGACUCAGUUCAUUUUUGGCUAUGACUGGGACUGCUGUUGGACCCGGUUACCAGAACCUGGCUCUGCUUGCUGUAUUCAGAUGCUGUGGGACUGCUCCUGCUGCUUGCUCUUUCCAAGUGGAGGAAUGGGUGGUCUUGGCUGGGCCUGCAGCUCUCCCAGUUUUUCUUGGGUGAAGUAGCUCCCUGUGAACAUGGAAACCCCAGUAUGCCUGGGAGAGUCACCUUCCAGAGGUGUCGGAAGCAACAUCUACAAGAUGUGAUGAUGCUAGAGACAAAAACCAUCUGGGUAAGUGGAAAUCUGUAGAGACAGAGGCAAAGAGGCACUUUGCAUACUCCAAAAACAGCAGCAUUGAGGGCUUUGCUGAGCUGGCUUCCUGACCGAGUCAGCUGCUCUUUCCAGAGGACCUCUACAUGCUGGUUUGCUUUGGCGAGGAUAUCUGCAGAGCUGUCACUUGCAGCCAGUCUCCCCAGGGACUUCAUCCUACGGGGGCCAGCACAGCUGUCCCUCUUCGAGCUGAAGUUCAGGCCCAUUUUGUGUCCUGCAGGAGCUGUGCAUGGGCUGCUGCUGAGGGAUGGCCACAGGCAGGGGGUCAGGCUGGAGGUUGAGAAGCCCUUUGCUGUGGGGCUGGGCACUCCAGGAUCAGACCUGGGUGGUGGAGAGGAGGGCUCCCAGGGUCUGCUGGCAGCUCCCAGCCUCCCACAGACUGUCUCCGAAGGAGCUCAGGAAGGAUUGAUGGCACUGGGUGCCUUUCCAAGACCAAAGUCCCAUCACUCAGAAGACGUUAGACAUUGUCUGGCGUGACACUCUGCUCUCUGGCACUGACCGGGGCGGCCUGCUGACUGCAAAUCUGCUGGGUCCACAGGCAAAUUAUCCGCACAUCAGCACAUUUAAGAGAAAUUAAUUUCCCUGCAGGAGCAAAGAAGAAAGUCUCUUCCAAAUCGGAGUCCAUCUCACAGUGGCUGCUAUGAAAUGUGGUGACAAUCUCACGUAUGCUGUGCAGAGAGGGACCAGCAUUGCACCUGGAGAUGCAGCCAAACCAACAGGCUGGAAAAUCACAACAAAACAUGGAAAAAGAGACCCCAGUAGCCUGCCUUUAAAGUUAGUUACAGAGGGUUGGGAGCCCUGAGGGUGUUUGAGGUUUCCCUUUGCGGUCUGUGCAAGGACACAGAAGCUCUGUGAAGAAGCAGUGAUGGGGAGAAAGAGGUCACAGGUGUGUGGGUGAGGGGGAAAGUAUUUAUAAUAAAUCUGCUAUAAUCUAAUUAGUGGCACCUGACUGAAGAACAAAUGUCUCACUGCUUAGAAGGAAGAAAAAUUCAACCUGCUUGCACCUGUGCUGGCCUAAAAUAAUAGGUAAGGUUUAGGGCAGAGGACACAAUAACAGAAAGGAAGGGAAGGUACAUGGAGGUAAAUAUGAAAUGGAAUAAAAUGUAAUGUGGCUUUGCAAAAAAAAGAGAUCAAGUGAGAUAAACCUGCUGCCUCCUUUUAGGAAGAUAACUGUGUUUUUGUUGUUUUUUUUUGUUUGUUUGUUUUUGUUUGUUUGUUUUUCAUGGAAGGAAAAUGCAGUAGAUUUCAUCGGGCUGUAUUUCAGCACAGCACUUGAUGUGGCACCUAUGAGAGCUUUCUUGUGCUUCUGGAGGAGAUGGGCUCAGCCAGGUGAAAAAGACCCCAGAAAGGUGUGGGGGCAGUUACCAAACCCAGCUCCUCAGUGUGAUGGUGGGUGAGAAUCCAGUCCACAAACCAACCCCAGAACUACAGGAAUUAAAGUAGUGCUGAUUCGGGCUGCCCUGAUAAAAAUGGUUAUAGACAACACUGAGGUGCCAUCCCUUGGCUUCAAGGGGCAAAGGAACAGCUUCGGGAGGGAAACAUCCCCCUCUCCCACCACACUGCAUCCUGCCUGCGAGUUGCUCCCCCACUGCUGUCCCCAGGCUGCUCUUCUUGCACGUCCCCACGUCUGAGUGCACAUUUCUGCAGCUCACUGCGUCAGCCGGGGCUGGACCGGAGCUGGGAAGUCUUUUAUGUGUACAGACAUUGAAAGGAAAUGAAUGCUGCUUCCCCUCCCAGGUCUGAGAUGUCUGAGAUGGGGGAAUGAUUUGCUGGGGGGGGGGGGGGGGGUGUAAUAGUGGUGAUUUUAAACAAAAACAUCUGGAUAGAAUUUGUGUGGGAUAGUCCAUAAAAAUAAGUAAAGGAGGAAGUCUGAAAGCAAGAAAUAUGUCUGAUCCUUACUAAGAUAACUCAUCUGCAGGGACAGAAAAAAAAAAAAAAAA
Non-coding RNA from Anas platyrhynchos (mallard), 2370 nucleotides. NCBI's taxonomy places the organism in Eukaryota, Metazoa, Chordata, Aves, Anseriformes, Anatidae. The record is from RefSeq and is a predicted model, not a curated record.